GGGUUGUGAGGUUAAGCGACUAAGCGUACACGGUGGAUGCCCUGGCAGUCAGAGGCGAUGAAGGACGUGCUAAUCUGCGAUAAGCGCCGGUAAGGUGAUAUGAACCGUUAUAACCGGCGAUUUCCGAAUGGGGAAACCCAGUGUGAUUCGUCACACUAUCAUUAACUGAAUCCAUAGGUUAAUGAGGCGAACCGGGGGAACUGAAACAUCUAAGUACCCCGAGGAAAAGAAAUCAACCGAGAUUCCCCCAGUAGCGGCGAGCGAACGGGGAGGAGCCCAGAGCCUGAAUCAGCAUGUGUGUUAGUGGAAGCGUCUGGAAAGGCGCGCGAUACAGGGUGACAGCCCCGUACACAAAAGCGCACAUGCUGUGAGCUCGAUGAGUAGGGCGGGACACGUGGUAUCCUGUCUGAAUAUGGGGGGACCAUCCUCCAAGGCUAAAUACUCCUGACUGACCGAUAGUGAACCAGUACCGUGAGGGAAAGGCGAAAAGAACCCCGGCGAGGGGAGUGAAAAAGAACCUGAAACCGUGUACGUACAAGCAGUGGGAGCACCCUUUGGGGUGUGACUGCGUACCUUUUGUAUAAUGGGUCAGCGACUUAUAUUCUGUAGCAAGGUUAACCG
RNAcentral lists this ribosomal RNA (621 nucleotides) under Salmonella enterica. RNAcentral's name for it is "partial 23S ribosomal RNA". It matches the Rfam family "Bacterial large subunit ribosomal RNA", at positions 1 to 652 of the family's 2925-position model. Lineage: Bacteria; Pseudomonadati; Pseudomonadota; Gammaproteobacteria; Enterobacterales; Enterobacteriaceae. The record is from RNAcentral.